GAUUAAUGUUUUUUGCAGCUAUCAUAUCAAAUUGUUGAUGCACUAAUUUGGCUUGGAAUAUGGGACAUUAUAAAUGAGUUUAGGAAGAAAAAAUUGAAGCUGAGACCUGUGACAUAUUUAAGUGGUUCUUAUAGUUCCCCAGAUGUACCUUAUGGAUAUCUUUGGAGUCCUCAUCUUGUUCCCAAACCGAAAGGUCAAUUCCCUGUUAUCCAUUAUAUUGCUGUUUAUUGAAGGAGUACUGUAGUGUCAAGUCUGCACAUGUAUUUGUAACUUAUUUAUUAGUUUCUGUCCGGUGGCAAAUUUCUGGAGUUUUUUUUGUUACAUUUGAUGCUAGAGAUACUUUGGUAUACUAAUAGUUGCUAUUUUUUUCUUUUAGCUCAUAUUAUUCUUGUUCUUUUUCUUUUUCAUUUUUCUUUCUUUUUUUUUUAAUUUUAAUUAAAUUUAUCUUCCAUCUUUGUUGCUUCUUCUUCUUCUUCUUCUACUACUACUGGUGUUACUACCACUACUACUACCUUUGUAAGUUUGUAACCUCAUAUUCAACCAGUUCUGAAUGCAAAAUGUUUCAUUCUACAUUUAUUAAUGUUGUUAUGUGAGAACAUGUUACAUAUUGAUAGAUCAAGCUUCAUUGGUAAAAAGAACUGAACAAAAAGCUGCUUAUGAUUAGCUUUAUGGUUGGGUUGGGAAAAGGAAAGCGUGUAGAUAGAGUCCUAUAAUAGGCAGUGGAAAGGUUUUGAGGUUAGUAGACGAAGUGGGGCUGAAAUUAGAUCCGAUCUUUAAAGUGGCAAGUUGUUGGAAAUUUUGGAGAGCAUUUAUAAUUGAUUUUACAGGCAAUACAAAAUUUUUUCUGUGAGAACUAUCAAAAGAAGCACCAUCAGUAUUUCUCUUGUGGGGAAUUAGGUUCUUCUGAUAAAUUGUUUGGUGCAAAGGUACGAGUUCUUCUGGAAAAUUGAACUAAUAUUUAAAUGUUGACUGUACAUUUUCCCCAUUGGAUCUUCAUAGAAUUCUUUUUGGUUAAGUUUAGCUAUUAUCAUUAUAAAAAUUGAAGGUAUUCCAUCAAGAGCAAAAUUUAGCCACUUAGUGUUUCUAGAGCAACAUUUAAAAUAAUCCUCUUGGUUAAAUUUCAACGAAUAUUUUGAAAUGAGAUAGAAUAAUUAUUUUAAAUUAUUAAUGAGUCAAUCAAUCCCUGGAGAUGCUGUGUGAAGUCAUAUUGGAUGAUUUUGUGUUGCAUAAUUCUCCUCCCCUCCUAUUUUUCUCCUCUUUUAUGGUAUUUAUUUUCCAUGAAACAUAUAUCUUAGUCUUCAUAAUGCUGUCUGUAUGCUUGGCUCGUUUGAUCUGCUAGCUUGAGUUCCAUUAGGGUGUCUAGAUGCUUCUUGGGAUAGUUUGGUCUUGCCCUUUGUAUUUUGGAUCACAACUUUGGUUUUAUGUUCCUUAUUCUUCAUGCUAUUUUGCUUAUUUUAUUUGCUUUGUAAAGAGAUUUUGACGGUGAUCAAAUUUUUUAUUUUUUUCUAUUUGUUCUAGAAGUCUGGUUGUUGGGUUGUAUUUUUGUUUUUCUUUUCUGUUUUUCUUUUCCCAAAGACAGAUUAGAAAUUUGAGUUUAUUUAUGAGUCUAUUUACUUCUGUUUUCCUGAUUUGAUUUUAAUAUGCAUUUCUGGAUUACUAAUUCCUUCUAGUUUUCUAAUAACUGAUUAGAAUUCCAUAAUUGAGGUGAAUAUAUUAGCAUGCCAAUUCACAUUUCUAUAGUGAGUUAUGUUGCUUGACUUUCUUGACCUCAUUGUGAGCAGUGAUUGGAUCUGCAUCUGAUUUGCCUAAAAUUUUACCUUCUAAAUACCUUGUGGGUCUUUCCCUGUGUUUCUGCAACAUGUGGUCUCUUUUACCAUCCACAUUGUGUUGCAAAACUGCUCCACCGUAAGAGUGCAGCUGAGGCAGAAGAGCUUCGGAAGAAGAUAGCUGCUGGGGAAUUUUUCACAUGUCCCAUUCAUAAAUGCGUUAUCUGCAAACUGGGUGAAAAUAAGUUGGAACCUGAUUUGCAAUUUGCAGUUUGCAAUUUGCAGUUUGCAGACAUUGUUCCAAGUCGCACCACAGAAAAUGCUUGCCGGGGAAUAUUACUUUUGAAGAUCUGGAGGAUGAGGACAUCCUGCAAAGGGCUUGGGAAGGUCUUAUUCCAAACCGUAUUUUGAUUUAUUACUUAGAACAUGAGAUUGAUGAUGAAAUUAGAACUCCAAGUAGAAACCACAUAAAGUUCCCAGAUGAUGGACAAAAUAAGGAAAGACAAGCAUUAGAGCUACUCUUGAGCAAAAGGAAAGUUUUGCAGAAGGAGAGAGCUCUGGCCUCAACAGAUGCUUCCAGAAAGAGAACUCUUGGGAAGGUAUAGAAAGGGGUGGAUUUGUCUUCAAUUACCACAGUGGAUGAUUCUUCAAAGAACAGUGCCAGAAAAUUGACUCGAUCCAAUUAUUCAAAGAAACAGAAAGUGGGGGAUAUAACCAGAAAGCCUCAGAACAACACUGGCUCUACAAAAGUCAAUAAGUCCUUCACUGAUGGAAACAGGUUUUCCUUGGUGUGCUGAUUGGUGAAUUUCAGAUUUUUUUGGUUUUUUUGUUUUUUUUGUUUUUUAAAGAUUGGGAUGAAUUUUAUAACUUAAAUAUGCUUUUUAUGAACAUGUACAGUCGAAUUGUUAUGUAAAAUAUUGAAUUUGAUGGUUUUAUCAACUUUUAUUCUUAUUUUCUGGUA
Camellia sinensis is the source of this 2727-nucleotide non-coding RNA. The record is from RefSeq and is a predicted model, not a curated record. Lineage: Eukaryota; Viridiplantae; Streptophyta; Magnoliopsida; Ericales; Theaceae.